UGCUGGCCAAUCAGCAGUAAAUAUACAUUUAAGUAAUUUCCUUAGACAAGGUGGCGGCGAUAAGACGUGAGACAUAUGUACAGUGAGACAAAACAAUGACCGCACUGACGGCGAAUCCUUCAGAGAUGAUAGUUUAUAUCUGCGUCCUUUUUGUACAAUAGAGAACAGAAUACAUCCUGUAAGUAUAAUAAUUAUUACCACCUCUGCUAUUACAACUGUACUAUGAUCAAUUCACAAUCUAUGUAGACGAUUAGACAAAAUAAAAAAAAACUCUAAUUUAGAGUUUGUUUCUACCUUUCUGCCAGGUGUCCAACUAAUGCAGAGUAUAUUCAAGCUGCCAACACACUGGUUUUGAGGAACCCUUUCCAGAGAAAUAUAGAAAGAAAUGACUGUGAAACUUGUGUUGGGGAGGAUUCAAUGUCUGUUGAGGCACUUGUAAAUGUGCUACAGAGUGAGUAUCAGAAACACAUCCAGACACAUGGACUGUCAAAGACCACACGACAGGAACAUUCUCUUG
Molecule: long non-coding RNA, 517 nt
Organism: Carassius carassius (crucian carp)
Lineage: Eukaryota; Metazoa; Chordata; Actinopteri; Cypriniformes; Cyprinidae
Exons: 3
Source: RefSeq, a predicted model, not a curated record